Molecule: ribosomal RNA, 765 nt
Filed under: uncultured Streptococcus sp.
Lineage: Bacteria; Bacillati; Bacillota; Bacilli; Lactobacillales; Streptococcaceae
Description: bacterial SSU rRNA
Rfam family: Bacterial small subunit ribosomal RNA
Source: RNAcentral
GACGAACGCUGGCGGCGUGCCUAAUACAUGCAAGUAGAACGCUGAAGAGAGGAGCUUGCUCUUCUUGGAUGAGUUGCGAACGGGUGAGUAACGCGUAGGUAACCUGCCUUGUAGCGGGGGAUAACUAUUGGAAACGAUAGCUAAUACCGCAUAACAAUGGAUGACACAUGUCAUUUAUUUGAAAGGGGCAAUUGCUCCACUACAAGAUGGACCUGCGUUGUAUUAGCUAGUAGGUGAGGUAACGGCUCACCUAGGCGACGAUACAUAGCCGACCUGAGAGGGUGAUCGGCCACACUGGGACUGAGACACGGCCCAGACUCCUACGGGAGGCAGCAGUAGGGAAUCUUCGGCAAUGGGGGCAACCCUGACCGAGCAACGCCGCGUGAGUGAAGAAGGUUUUCGGAUCGUAAAGCUCUGUUGUAAGUCAAGAACGAGUGUGAGAGUGGAAAGUUCACACUGUGACGGUAGCUUACCAGAAAGGGACGGCUAACUACGUGCCAGCAGCCGCGGUAAUACGUAGGUCCCGAGCGUUGUCCGGAUUUAUUGGGCGUAAAGCGAGCGCAGGCGGUUUGAUAAGUCUGAAGUUAAAGGCUGUGGCUCGACCAUAGUUCGCUUUGGAAACUGUCAAACUUGAGUGCAGAAGGGGAGAGUGGAAUUCCAUGUGUAGCGGUGAAAUGCGUAGAUAUAUGGAGGAACACCGGUGGCGAAAGCGGCUCUCUGGUCUGUAACUGACGCUGAGGCUCGAAAGCGUGGGGAGCGAACAGG